CAGUAGCCGCGGUAAUACAGAGGGUGCGAGCGUUAAUCGGAUUUACUGGGCGUAAAGCGUGCGUAGGCGGCUUCUUAAGUCGGAUGUGAAAUCCCUGAGCUUAACUUAGGAAUUGCAUUCGAUACUGGGAAGCUAGAGUAUGGGAGAGGAUGGUAGAAUUCCAGGUGUAGCGGUGAAAUGCGUAGAGAUCUGGAGGAAUACCGGUGGCGAAGGCGGCCCCCUGGACAAAGACUGACGCUCAGGUGCGAAAGCGUGGGGAGCAAACAGGAUUAGAUACCCGCGUAGUCCCUGUCUCUUAUAC
This 301-nucleotide ribosomal RNA is filed under the name uncultured bacterium. RNAcentral describes it as "partial 16S ribosomal RNA". It matches the Rfam family "Bacterial small subunit ribosomal RNA", at positions 509 to 807 of the family's 1533-position model. The record is from RNAcentral.